UACGAAGGGGGCUAGCGUUGCUCGGAAUCACUGGGCGUAAAGGGCGCGUAGGCGGACUCUUAAGUCAGGGGUGAAAGCCUGAGGCUCAACCUCAGAACUGCCUUUGAUACUGAGAGUCUCGAGACCGGUAGAGGUAAGUGGAACUGCGAGUGUAGAGGUGAAAUUCGUAGAUAUUCGGAGGAACACCAGUGGCGAAGGCGGCUCACUGGCUCGGUACUGACGCUGAGGUGCGAAAGCGUGGGGAGCAAACAGG
This 253-nucleotide ribosomal RNA is filed under the name uncultured bacterium. Its description in RNAcentral is "partial 16S ribosomal RNA". It matches the Rfam family "Bacterial small subunit ribosomal RNA", at positions 524 to 776 of the family's 1533-position model. The record is from RNAcentral.